GGUUUGGUUGUGCCCAUGUUCUCUCAUGGGGGCAGCCACUCAGUUCAGCUCUGGACAGAGGAGACUGGCGAUUUGGAUCCGCCAUGUUGUUCCGGCCGUCGGUGCUGCUUCCCCGGCUACUUCUUGGGCGGAGGAGGGAGCUCAGCUGCUUCUUGGGCGGAGGAGGGAGCUCGGUCCAUCUGUUCGCCCAGCCGCCAGAUCCAUGGGGGACAUGUCCACGAUUCAACGCCCGCCCGACGUUGUCACCAAGGUAAUAAAUACUCCAUUCUAAUCCAUCCACGACUGACUGUUAUUUCGAUUCUCCUCAAGAAGCAUAUUCGCUUGAUUAGCAUGGUCUUCUACAGCAGUAUUAUGCUCAUGCAAAUCACCAAUAUAUAGCAGCAGCUAAUUUGACUCGAUCGAAAAAUACUUACAAAAGGCAAGCUAACAUAUCAUGUACAAAACUGAGAUUAAUUGAGAAUUUUAGUUGUUUGUAAGACCUUCUAUAAGAUAUUGAUAGUUUGUUAGAACAUUCAGAUGUCAUUUUGCUUAUCAAUUUUUUGGGCCGGACCACCCUGCUGUCAAAUGCUAGCUCCGCCACUGCCAAGGAGGUAUAUAACUAUCCUAGUUCUGAAAUUUAAAAAUGAAGUACAAAGUCCGAAGACAGUAUAUGUAAGAGAACUUGCAAUAACUGCAAAGUUCCAAGGUCUAAUACAAGAACAUGGAAAUUUGCAUGUGUACAAAAGAUCCCCUAUGUUUGUCAUCGGAAACACUAUAUACCAAAAAGGAUGGCCGUGCCAAAAUCAUUUUAUAUUUAUAUUGAAUGAGAGAAAAUAAUGCAUUGCAAUGAUUCCAAUUAUUUUAUAUUUAUAUCAUUGUAAAACCUCCUCGUCAAGAAGACUACAUACACUUUAUGUCUGCUAUACAAUGUGCAUCAGGACCUUCUAGGUAAAAAGAAUCAGGCGGUGUAACUAUCAAUUAGCUAUGCAAUGUUCUAGCUUAUAAGAAAAUCAACUUUGACUGCAUGUCUUAUGGCAGGUAAGAGUAUUCCAGAAACAUGUAUGUCAAAAUGAAACAAAUAAAGAACCAUUAUUGUGGUUGCACACAAAAAAUAUAACACAGGUAUGAACGCGAUCAACAUUAAGGCGGAGGAAGGGGCUUUACUUUCAUACCUCGGAGUAGUCUAUGGGAGGCGGAUGACCCGGAGAUAGGAAGCAUAGACUGCAAGAAGCACAAUCAGAUCUAUGCUUUCAGUUAUCCAUACUGCUGGGUAGAGAAGGAGGAACCGAAGCAAACAUCACCUCAAAAAAAAUGACAAGAAUAAUUUAUUGAGAACUCCAUGUAGUCAGGAGUAAGACAUUUCUGCCUCUAAAUCCCAGUAACAUGCCGACAAACCAUUCAUAAAUUUUAAGUAGCACCAUGCAGAUUAUCUGGAAAGAAAAUACAAACAAACAUAAGAAAAUUCUCAACCUCCCCCAUCCAUCAAUAAAGUGAGACCAACAACCACUUAGGUUAGGAGUAGCAUGCUCGAGCCAUGUAGCAAGUGAACCAGUAACACUGGGACUACUUCAUCUAUAAAAAUAUGCAAACUGGUCGAGAAUACAAAACCAGUUAAAUAAAGGUCAAGAUUACUGCUAGUGUUGUGAACAAGUUCAGUCAUUUUCCCAUUCUCAACCUCAGGGCUCACGCGGUAUGAAUUUCCAUUGGAUAAAAAAGCUAAUACUAUGUUUUUUUAGUUUUCCAUCUCUAUCUUUCCAAUAAAAUAUGGUGUUAUCUUUUCCAUGGUCUUUAGUUUUCAGCUUUCAGCCUAUACAUGGUGCGUAAAUGAUUACUGAAUUGCUCCUCCCUAUCCAGACUAAUUGAUUUCAACCGCCAAAUCACAGCAGAGAGGACGAACAGUGAAUAAAUUGGAUGGGAAGGAGUUGCAAUACCUGUGGAUGGGUUGGAGACGGCAAGGUCGCAGGCAAGGACACCAUCCAAGCAUAUGUUUAUGUUUUUGUGAAACUGGGGAAGGAUGUGAAAACUGAGCUGCAAGUAAAACCAUAGCUUCCUUUUGUUUAGGUUCUGCUGAGAAGUCCCAUAGCAUGAUAUCUUCAGAACAGCAUGUGGUGUGCCAGUGGCAUCCAAACAAAAAGAUUUGGAACAGGGAGAAUAGAAAUACACCAAAAGAGAACAUCAUCGUCUUUGAAAUUUUUCUCACGCCUGGCCUAAUUGCAAAGAUAUUCUUAAAUGCCCAUAUAUUUAUUUAGCUAAUUACUAUAAGCAAGAUAAGCCGACCUCAUACAAAAAG
Molecule: long non-coding RNA, 2269 nt
Filed under: Triticum aestivum (bread wheat)
Lineage: Eukaryota; Viridiplantae; Streptophyta; Magnoliopsida; Poales; Poaceae
Description: long non-coding RNA (TAES_LNC003843)
Source: RNAcentral